Molecule: ribosomal RNA, 472 nt
Filed under: uncultured bacterium
Lineage: Bacteria
Description: bacterial SSU rRNA
Rfam family: Bacterial small subunit ribosomal RNA
Source: RNAcentral
UCGGGAAUUUUGGACAAUGGGGGCAACCCUGAUCCAGCCAUGCCGCGUGAGUGAAGAAGGCCUUCGGGUUGUAAAGCUCUUUCGGACGGAACGAAAUGGUCAGGGUGAAUAUCCCUGACUGAUGACGGUACUGUAAGAAGAAGCACCGGCUAACUACGUGCCAGCAGCCGCGGUAAUACGUAGGGUGCAAGCGUUAAUCGGAAUUACUGGGCGUAAAGCGCGGGCAGGCGGUCUGUUAAGUCGUUUGUGAAAAUCCGGGGCUCAACCCCGGAAAUGCAUACGAUACUGGCAGGCUGGAGACUGGUAGAGGCUAGCGGAAUUCCUGGUGUAGCGGUGGAAUGCGUAGAUAUCAGGAAGAACACCUGUGGCGAAGGUGGCUAGCUGGGCCAGUUCUGACGCUCAUCCGCGAAAGCGUGGGGAGCAAACAGGAUUAGAUACCCCAGUAGUCCCUGAGCGGGCUGGCAAGGCGCAU